Molecule: long non-coding RNA, 970 nt
Filed under: Medicago truncatula (barrel medic)
Lineage: Eukaryota; Viridiplantae; Streptophyta; Magnoliopsida; Fabales; Fabaceae
Description: lncRNA gene15552
Source: RNAcentral
GUCGUGUAUAGAAAACUUCUUUUUUGUGAGUCAAAAUCCUUCUUUAUGAUGGUUGAAUCGAUUCAAAUUUUUCUGACUAGCAUCACAAUGAAUAGAUUCAAAUUAUUUUGAAUCGAUUCAAAAACCUCUAUGACUUUGGUUGAAUAGAUUCAAAAUAAUUUGACUAGUAUCAAUCUUCAUCCGGGGAUUUUUGAAUCUAUUCAAAUCAUGUCUGAUGCGUAUCAAUCUUCAUAGCUCAUCUACCUUGUCACUUAACUAUCUGAAUUGAUUCACACAUUAAGUGAAUCGAUUCAAUAAGUUGUUUUUGGCUGAAAUUUUGCUCUUGCCACCCUUUUCUAUAUAUACUCACUACCUUAUAACACCAAAUUCAUUGAAUCAUUUGCAACUAUUCUCUUUAGGUCUCAAAAACUCAUUGUUCAUACAUUCUUCAAGAUUAAACAUUUUUUCUUAGAAUCAUUUUGUUCUUUGAGUCACAUUGAUUUGCUAGGGUGCUAGUAGGGAUUGUAAGUUGGUCCUCUCAAGAAGAUUGAUUGGGCUUAAUCAAGGCUUCAAAGUGAAUUGAAUAAUCUCAUUCCACCUCCAAAGGACUUGGGGGUCUUUCCAACCGUUCUUGAAGUCGAAGGGGAUUCGUUUACCGGACGUAGCAUUGAAGGCUUGAGUGAAGAGUUCAAAGGGGUGCACGGGUAAUCAAGGAUCCGAAGAUUCAAGGAGCACCAAAUUCAAGGGUUGCUUGGAGUUUGGGAGAGUUUUUUACAUACGGGUUGAAGAAUUAGGUUUUAAUUUCAAGGAACUCUUGUAAACACAUUGUAUUCAACAUUUGUUACAUAGUGGAUGACCUUGGUGAAGGUGUACUUCUUCAAUCUCACAUGUAUUGUGUUUUGAUUUGAUAGUUUAGUAAUUUUUGUUCAUAUAGGUUUGGUUUGAAAUUGUCUAUAAGUUUUGUACAUUGUUCAAGGUUAAUUAAGGUUUG